This 255-nucleotide ribosomal RNA is filed under the name uncultured bacterium. RNAcentral describes it as "partial 16S ribosomal RNA". It matches the Rfam family "Bacterial small subunit ribosomal RNA", at positions 524 to 776 of the family's 1533-position model. The record is from RNAcentral.
UACGUAGGGCGCAAGCGUUGUCCGGAUUUAUUGGGCGUAAAGAGCUCGUAGGCGGUUUGUCGCGUCUUCCGUGAAAACUGGGGGCUUAACUUCCAGCUUGCGGUGGAUACGGGCUGACUGGAGUGCGGCAGGGGGAGACUGGAAUUCCUGGUGUAGCGGUGAAAUGCGCAGAUAUCAGGAGGAACACCGGUGGCGAAGGCGGGUCUCUGGGACGGUACUGACGCUAAGGCGCGAAAAGCGUGGGGAGCGAACAGG